RNAcentral lists this transfer RNA (67 nucleotides) under Tanystylum orbiculare. RNAcentral's name for it is "tRNA-Leu". Lineage: Eukaryota; Metazoa; Arthropoda; Pycnogonida; Pantopoda; Tanystylidae. The record is from RNAcentral.
ACUAAUAUGGCAGAUAAAAUUGUAGUAAUUUUAGAAAUUAUAAAUGAAUUAAAUAAUUCUAUUAGUA